This is a long non-coding RNA of Gavialis gangeticus (Gharial), 145 nucleotides long. RefSeq lists it as uncharacterized. The transcript has 3 exons. Lineage: Eukaryota; Metazoa; Chordata; Crocodylia; Gavialidae. The record is from RefSeq and is a predicted model, not a curated record.
UACCAUGCAGCAGCCAAACAAUGUUAUAGCUGAACAUUGUGCAACUUUAAACAAGUAUGUUCUCUAAUAGAUCAGCGACGUAAUAACGAAACAACAUUAACCGGGACGAUGUUAAGUGAGGAGUACCUGUAUUUACUUCUCCUGU